AUGAAGCCAUUCACCGAGCCUUCCGCGUAAAGAGACACAAUAUCUCCAAUGUGAAGGAAGCUGGAUCUGUGCUCUGACAUGUUGCUGAAGUUUAUUUAACUGAAGAUACGCUCAAGACCCGAGAGUGCUCUUCUUCACAUCCACUUCAGGGGGAGGAGACUGAGACUGCUUCUUCUGCUGCUGCUGCUGCUGCUGCUGCUGUCAGGGCUGUGGGCAAAUUCCGUUCAGUGACAUGUUUUUGUUUUUAUUCCGAGCAGGCCCCUCCACAAGAUUACGAGCCACCACACACAGUCACAGAAAGUCGACAGCUGUAGGGGUAGAUAACUGAUAAAUAUAUAGAGGUUCUGCGGGAGAUUAAAAGUAGAGGACAACAGAUGAGGCCAACUUGUUUCCAUUGGAAUACUGCAAGAUAAGACCUAUGAUAUAUGGACAUUAACAUUAAUAUUAAUAUGUCUCGAUAAUUUUUCAUGUAUUUGUGUGUAAAUAGACGACCAGAUAAGAUGAAAUGAGUAACUGUGUGUUGACCCAUAGAGCUCAGUGCUAGAUAAAUAAACUGUGAAAUGAUUUAUUCA
Xiphias gladius (swordfish) is the source of this 572-nucleotide long non-coding RNA. RefSeq lists it as uncharacterized. NCBI's taxonomy places the organism in Eukaryota, Metazoa, Chordata, Actinopteri, Istiophoriformes, Xiphiidae. The transcript has 2 exons. The record is from RefSeq and is a predicted model, not a curated record.